Molecule: ribosomal RNA, 407 nt
Filed under: uncultured bacterium
Lineage: Bacteria
Description: bacterial SSU rRNA
Rfam family: Bacterial small subunit ribosomal RNA
Source: RNAcentral
GUGGGGGAUAUUGCACAAUGGGGGGAACCCUGAUGCAGCGACGCCGCGUGGGUGAAGAAGUAUUUCGGUAUGUAAAGCCCUAUCGGCAGGGAAGAAAUUGGACGGUACCUGACUAAGAAGCCCCGGCUAACUACGUGCCAGCAGCCGCGGUAAUACGUAGGGGGCAAGCGUUAUCCGGAUUCACUGGGUGUAAAGGGAGCGUAGACGGCCAUGCAAGCCUGGAGUGAAAGCCCGGGGCCCAACCCCGGGACUGCUCUGGGAACUGUGCGGCUGGAGUGCGGGAGGGGCAGGCGGAAUUCCUGGUGUAGCGGUGAAAUGCGUAGAUAUCAGGAGGAACACCGGCGGCGAAGGCGGCCUGCUGGACCGCGACUGACGUUGAGGCUCGAAAGCGUGGGGAGCAAACAGGA